RNAcentral lists this transfer RNA (89 nucleotides) under Kitasatospora atroaurantiaca. RNAcentral describes it as "tRNA-Asn". It matches the Rfam family "tRNA". Rfam says of the family: Transfer RNA (tRNA) molecules are approximately 80 nucleotides in length. Their secondary structure includes four short double-helical elements and three loops (D, anti-codon, and T loops). Lineage: Bacteria; Bacillati; Actinomycetota; Actinomycetes; Kitasatosporales; Streptomycetaceae. The record is from RNAcentral.
GGAGAGGUGCCCGGAGUGGUUUAUCGGGGACCGGGGCUAUGGCUCCGAUCGGGUGAAAACCCACGCAGGUUCGAAUCCUGCCUUCUCCG